This is a long non-coding RNA of Trachemys scripta elegans, 276 nucleotides long. RefSeq lists it as uncharacterized. Lineage: Eukaryota; Metazoa; Chordata; Testudines; Emydidae. The transcript has 4 exons. The record is from RefSeq and is a predicted model, not a curated record.
CCCUGGUGAAAGGCGCUGGAGGAGAGGACGCAUCGCUGAGACCUGAGAGUAACAGCAAAAAAAGGACGACAUAUUCCAAGAUGGCUGACAAUGAAUCUGAAAGCUCCCAGGAGAAGGCCAGUGUGGUUGAAAUGUAGGAUUUCUGAAUGUGCACAUAGAUGUUCCACUGCAGGUGACUCAUCAGCAGUUUCCUUCCAGGUGGAGGCUUCAGGUCAUCUGAACAGAGAUGGUAAAACACUGAUUUGCUGAAGUUGGCUGUGACGUGUUGGACCCCCC